This is a long non-coding RNA of Lontra canadensis (Northern American river otter), 411 nucleotides long. RefSeq lists it as uncharacterized. The transcript is spliced from 3 exons. Lineage: Eukaryota; Metazoa; Chordata; Mammalia; Carnivora; Mustelidae. The record is from RefSeq and is a predicted model, not a curated record.
UCAUCAUCCGCCUCUCCCAGCGCGGGCAAGGGCGAGAAGAGUGGAGGGCUCCCCGCCCGGCCCGGACCCCUGGGCGGCGCUGCACAGGGGCGAAGGCCCCAAACGCAUCCCCGGCCUUUCCUGGCCCACGACGACCCCGCCGCCCACCCUCCCUACCUGGCCUUGAGGCUGGGGCUGCUGCCGCUGCUGCAGCUGCUGCUGGCGGCGGCGGUGGCCGCCGCGGCUCGGGGUUCGAGAACUAUAAGCCCCGUCUUUGCCAGGGCAGCCCUGAUUUCAGUCCCUCAAGUCAGCAUCAGAAAUUAAAACAUCAGAAAUGCAGGAAAUAGCUAUGGAGUCAGAAGAGCCUGCUUCUUUGGAAGCCACAGCCUCACUCAGGUGUCACUGAAAGACGGUGAUGAGGCACAUUCCUCC